AAAGUGCUGCGACAUUUGAGUGU
RNAcentral lists this microRNA (23 nucleotides) under Equus caballus (horse). Its description in RNAcentral is "eca-miR-372". Its record names the gene eca-miR-372. The record is from miRBase by way of RNAcentral. Lineage: Eukaryota; Metazoa; Chordata; Mammalia; Perissodactyla; Equidae.